This 257-nucleotide ribosomal RNA is filed under the name uncultured bacterium. RNAcentral's name for it is "partial 16S ribosomal RNA". It matches the Rfam family "Bacterial small subunit ribosomal RNA", at positions 526 to 779 of the family's 1533-position model. The record is from RNAcentral.
CGGAGGGGCGUAGCGUUGUUCGGAAAUAACUGGGGCGUAAAGCGCACGUAGGCGGCGCAGCAAGUCAGGGGUGAAAAUCCCGGGGCUCAACCCCGGAACUGCCCUUGAAACUGCAGUGCUAGAAUCUUGGAGAGGCGAGUGGAAUUCCGAGUGUAGAGGUGAAAUUCGUAGAUAUUCGGAAGAACACCAGUGGCGAAGGCGACUCGCUGGACAAGUAUUGACGCUGAGGUGCGAAAGCGUGGGGAGCAAACAGGAUU